Molecule: non-coding RNA, 384 nt
Filed under: Anisakis simplex (herring worm)
Lineage: Eukaryota; Metazoa; Nematoda; Chromadorea; Rhabditida; Anisakidae
Description: Bacterial large subunit ribosomal RNA
Rfam family: Bacterial large subunit ribosomal RNA
Source: Rfam by way of RNAcentral
CCUGGGGCUGUAGUCGGUCCCAAGGGUAUGGCUGUUCGCCAUUUAAAGAGGUACGUGAGCUGGGUUUAAAACGUCGUGAGACAGUUUGGUCCCUAUCUUCCGUGGGCGCUGCAGAUUUGAGGAAGCCUGCUCCUAGUACGAGAGGACCGGAGUGGACACACCUCUGGUGUAUCGGUUGUCACGCCAGUGGCAUUGCCGAGUAGCUAAGUGUGGAAGAGAUAACCGCUGAAAGCAUCUAAGCGGGAAACUCGUUUCAAGAUGAGAUCUGCCGGGGCCUUGAGCCCCCUGAAGAGUCGUUCAAGACCAGGACGUUGAUAGGCUGGGUGUGGAAGCGCAGUAAUGCGUUAAGCUAACCAGUACUAAUUGCUCGUGAGGCUUGACCCU